Long non-coding RNA from Ornithodoros turicata, 1047 nucleotides. RefSeq lists it as uncharacterized. The transcript is spliced from 2 exons. The record is from RefSeq and is a predicted model, not a curated record. NCBI's taxonomy places the organism in Eukaryota, Metazoa, Arthropoda, Arachnida, Ixodida, Argasidae.
GGGAGACACAGAAAACACAUUACCGCUUUCGUGCGGGUCGUGCGUGCGUCCUUUUUUUUUCUGUCCUUUCUCCCUCGCCUAACGCGCUGGAAGGUGGCUUGCGUACGGCCCGCCUGCUGUCUGCUUUGCGCGAACGCAGACGGCGUGUGGCAACGACUUCCGCCGCGAGGUCACGUGGGACUCCCCUGACGGAUGCUAAAAGGAGCUCGUUCGCAUCUCACUUCUUUCGGAGCGAACCCUGCCGCCCAACACUGGGCAGACAUACCUCCUUCUUUUUCUCCACUGACGUCACUCCUCCCCCCCCCCCACUUCUUUCAUUCACCACUUUAGCAUUGCGGGCAACGUGUGGCAGACGCGGUGAUUGCUACAAGCGUUAUGGAUCGGAGGAAAAAGUGUAGUGUCUACCUCUUCCAUCGAAACUUGAACUCACCGUCGUUAGGUUCUCUGUGCAGUGUAUCGUCGUCUGUGAAGCAGUUUCAGCACUGGAUUGUCUACUUUAUUUUUGAUGACGGAACUGCUCUAGAGUGUGAUGGACAAGAAGACGCUACCUCUAAGAAACUGCGUGGGAGUGCGCGGUUGAUAAGUCACAGCGACGUGGAACCUUUGAGAAAAAACAUGAAACUAUUGAAGGACGGUGUUUCCCUUUCGAAAGAAGAUAUCAGAGAAGUGGUGGACGAGAUGAACCUGAAGAGCAGCAAGUAUGACAUUCUCUGCAACAACUGCCAGUAUUGGAUCAAAAAGCUGCUGGAAAGGCUAGGUGUGCCAGUGCCUGACGUCGAUCUGAGACAAGUCGCCAUUCGGUAUUGCAGGGCUGCACCGUCGUAAGCACGCAUUUCCAUCUUCCCUAGGCAGGGGCGGAGUUAAGGUUCUGUCACGGGGAGGGGGGGGGGGCAGUCUUAAGGAAAUUUCGUGCUUUGCGGCGCAGCAUCGUCCAGGAGAUAGGGUUUUUACCGCCCCCCCCUUAAAUCCGCCCCUGUCCCUAGGUGACAUGAUUGCAUGAAGACCUUCAGGGUGGCCUGUCUCAAUAAUAAAACGUGUUUUGCCAAA